ACGAAGGACGAUCGGCUGUGAACUUGCGAAGAUGACUGCAGCACUAUGUCAAAUUGAAAAGAGCCCUGAUCUAUCCUAUAUGGAUUACGAUUGGAGGGCUUCUACUUUAAAGUCUUGUGGAGAUCACUCAAUUAUCAGAUCCUCAUCUUCAUGUUUGGUAUAUGACAUCUGAGCUCUUAUUAAUAUGCAUGCUUAUAUUAUUUGAUUGUAAUCAUCAAGGUGUUCCUAAGAUUUUUUGAGUUUCGAUAGUCAUGUUUAAUUGUUAAACUUAUUUUCAAUAGUUGAAUGCAUG
RNAcentral lists this long non-coding RNA (292 nucleotides) under Elaeis guineensis (African oil palm). RNAcentral describes it as "long non-coding RNA (EGUI_LNC053338)". The record is from RNAcentral. Lineage: Eukaryota; Viridiplantae; Streptophyta; Magnoliopsida; Arecales; Arecaceae.